This 253-nucleotide ribosomal RNA is filed under the name uncultured bacterium. Its description in RNAcentral is "partial 16S ribosomal RNA". It matches the Rfam family "Bacterial small subunit ribosomal RNA", at positions 524 to 776 of the family's 1533-position model. The record is from RNAcentral.
UACAGAGGGUGCAAGCGUUAUUCGGAGUUAUUGGGCGUAAAGAGCGCGUAGGUGGUUCGAUAAGUCUGGUGUGAAAUCCCUGGACUCAAUCCAGGAAGUGCAUUGGAUACUGUCGAACUAGAGUACAGGAGAGGUAAGCGGAAUUCCAGGUGUAGAGGUGAAAUUCGUAGAUAUCUGGAGGAACAACAGUGGCGAAGGCGGCUUACUGGACUGUAACUGACACUGAGGCGCGAAAGCGUGGGGAGCAAACAGG